Molecule: ribosomal RNA, 2273 nt
Filed under: human gut metagenome
Description: bacterial LSU rRNA
Rfam family: Bacterial large subunit ribosomal RNA
Source: RNAcentral
AGGGCGUACGGCGGAUGCCUUGGCCAUAUCAGCCGAUGAAGGACGCGAUAAGCUGCGAUAAGCUGCGGUGAGGUGCAAGUAACCUUUGACCCGCAGAUCUCCGAAUGGGGAAACCCGGCGUGAGUAGUCACGUCAUCCUCGAUGAGGAUGGGUACCCGGUGAACUGAAACAUCUAAGUAGCCGGAGGAAAAGGAAUCAACAGAGAUACCCCUAGUAGCGGCGAGCGAACGGGGCAGAGCCCAAACCGGAUUGGGAAACCAGUCCGGGGUUGCGGACUGCUAACAAGUGCAGGCGUGAAGCAGAACCGGUUGGGAAACCGGGCCAGAGAGAGUGAGAGCCUCGUAAGCGCAAGCAAAUGCACGGAGCAGGAUCCAGAGUACCACGAGACACGAGAAACCUUGUGGGAAGCAGGGGGGACCACCCUCCAAGGCGAAACACUGAUAUGGACCGAUAGCGAAUAGUACCGUGAGGGAACGGUGAAAAGAACCCCGGGAGGGGAAUGAAAGAGAACCUGAAACCGUAUGUCUACAAGCAGUCGAAGCACUUUUUAGGUGCGACGGCGUGCCUAUUGAAGAAUGAACCGGCGAGUUGCUGGUGCUAGCGAGGUUAAGCAGAAAAUGCGGAGCCGCAGCGAAAGCGAGUCUGAACAGGGCGUAUAGUUAGUAACAGCAGACCCGAAACCACAGUGAUCUACCCAUGUCCAGGUUGAAGCACAGGUAAAAAUGUGUGGAGGACCGAACCAGUGAGCGUUGAAAAGCUUUUGGAUGAGAUGUGGGUAGGGGUGAAAUGCCAAUCGAACGUGGAGAUAGCUGGUUCUCCCCGAAAUAGCUUUAGGGCUAGCCUCAUGGCGAGAGUACAGGCGGUAGAGCACUGAACAGGGUAGGGGCCUAUCCGGCUACUGAACCUAAUCAAACUGCGAAUGGCUGUACUUAUCCAUGGGAGUCAGACUGUGAGUAAUAAGGCCCAUAGUCAAGAGGGAAACAGCCCAGACCAACAGCUAAGGUCCCCAAUGCCGUACUAAGUGGCGAAGGAUGUGGAAUUUCAAAAACAACCAGGAUGUUGGCUCAGAAGCAGCCACCAUUAAAAGAGUGCGUAAUAGCUCACUGGUCGAGAGACUCUGCGCCGAAGAUGUCCGGGGCUAAAGUACGGAACCGAAGCUUUGGCAAUUAACUUAUGUUAAUUGGGUAGGGGAGCGUUCCUGCAUGGGAGAAGCCUGACCGGAAGGACAGGUGGACAGGCAGGAAGAGAGAAUGCCGGUAUGAGUAGCGAAAAGAAGGGUGAGAAUCCCUUCCACCGAAAGCCUAAGGGUUCCUGGGCAACGAUCGUCGUCCCAGGGUAAGUCGGGACCUAAUCCGAGGCGGAGACGCGCAGGAGAUGGACAACAGGUUGAAAUUCCUGUACUGGCUGAUUUCGUUUGAGCAAUGGAGUGACACAGGAAGGAAGGCGCGCGUGCGAUUGGAAGAGCACGUCCAAGCAGGUAGGUGGGAAGAUAGGCAAAUCCGUCUUCCCGAAAGCUGAGAUGCGAUGGGGAGCGACUGGAAACAGUCGUGAAGGGGCUGGCACUAAACUGUCGAGAAAAGCUUCUAGUGAGAAAUCAGGCACCCGUACCGCAAACCGACACAGGUAGGCAGGAUGAGAAUUCUAAGGUGCGCGGGAAAACCCUCGUUAAGGAACUCGGCAAAAUGUAUCCGUAACUUCGGGAAAAGGAUAACCCGGCGUACGUGAAGUGCAGAAGCGCACGGAGCGGAACCGGGUGGCAGAAGAGAGGCCCAAGCGACUGUUUACCACAAACACAGGCGUCUGCUAAAGCGAAAGCUGAUGUAUAGAUGCUGACACCUGCCCGGUGCUGGAAGGUUAAGAGGAAGUGUUAGCGCAAGCGAAGCAGUGAAUUGAAGCCCCAGUAAACGGCGGCCGUAACUAUAACGGUCCUAAGGUAGCGAAAUUCCUUGUCGGGUAAGUUCCGACCCGCACGAAAGGUGUAACGACUUGGGCACUGUCUCAACGAGGGACCCGGUGAAAUUGAAAUACCUGUGAAGAUGCAGGUUACCCGCGACUGGACAGAAAGACCCCAUGGAGCUUUACUGUAACCUGAGAUUGGAUUCCGGUAAGAGAUGUACAGGAUAGUUGGGAGGCUGAGAAGCAAGUACGCCAGUAUUUGCAGAGCCGCUGGUGGGAUACCAACCUUGUUUUAUUGGAAUUCUAACGAGAAGCCUAACAAGCUUGCGGACAGUCUCAGGCGGGCAGUUUGACUGGGGCGGUCGCCUCCGAAAGAG